GAUUAACGCUGGCGGCGUGCCUAACACAUGCAAGUCGAACGAGGUAGCAAUACCUAGUGGCAGACGGGUGAGUAACGCGUGGUUAACCUACCGUUGAGUGGGGGAGUAACUAGCCGAAAGGUUAGCUAAUACCGCAUACGUCUCCGAGGGGCAUCCCUUGGCGAUAAAAGGAGCAAUCCGCUCGAUGACGGGACCGCGUCCCAUUAGCUAGAUGGUGGGGUAACGGCCUACCAUGGCACCGAUGGGAGCUGGUUUGAGAGAGCGACCAGCCACACUGGAACUGAGACACGGUCCAGACUCCUACGGGAGGCAGCAGUGGGGAAUUUUUCGCAAGUGGGGGCGAACCCUGACGAAGCAACGCCGCGUGGGGAGUGAAGGUCUUCGGGUUGUAAACCUCUUUCAGCCUUGACGAAGCGAAAGUGACGGGUAGGGGCAGAAGAAGCACCGGCCAACUACGUGCCAGCAGCCG
Molecule: ribosomal RNA, 469 nt
Filed under: uncultured bacterium
Lineage: Bacteria
Description: bacterial SSU rRNA
Rfam family: Bacterial small subunit ribosomal RNA
Source: RNAcentral